UACGUAGGGUGCAAGCGUUGUCCGGAAUUAUUGGGCGUAAAGAGCUCGUAGGUGGUCUGUCGCGUCGGCUGUGAAAUCCCGAGGCUCAACCUCGGGCCUGCAGUCGAUACGGGCAGACUAGAGUUCGGUAGGGGAGACUGGAAUUCCUGGUGUAGCGGUGGAAUGCGCAGAUAUCAGGAGGAACACCGGUGGCGAAGGCGGGUCUCUGGGCCGAAACUGACACUGAGGAGCGAAAGCGUGGGGAGCAAACAGG
RNAcentral lists this ribosomal RNA (253 nucleotides) under uncultured bacterium. RNAcentral describes it as "partial 16S ribosomal RNA". It matches the Rfam family "Bacterial small subunit ribosomal RNA", at positions 524 to 776 of the family's 1533-position model. The record is from RNAcentral.